This is a long non-coding RNA of Schistocerca nitens (vagrant locust), 1570 nucleotides long. RefSeq lists it as uncharacterized. The record is from RefSeq and is a predicted model, not a curated record. The transcript is spliced from 3 exons. NCBI's taxonomy places the organism in Eukaryota, Metazoa, Arthropoda, Insecta, Orthoptera, Acrididae.
GAUUAGUCGUGACCUGAACAGCAGCUGAAGGAGAGAGCACAAAUGAAGGCCAAAUACUGCAUCAUUGUACUGUUGUUGCUUGCUGCUUCCCAGCGAGGAGAUUGCUUUGCCUCUGCAAGAGUCAGAGAUUUCACAAAGACCGGUGUAGAAGGUUACUUUGUAAUCAUAUCACAUUUCACAGAUACCAAAGUAGUGGGUUGGUAUACGUGUGUAACAUUUAGAGAACCCACAAAUACCGAUCAAGUGGGUUGGUUCCUGUGUAAAAGAACAGAUUUCCUAAAUCCCAACCCAAAUGAUGACUCUAUGUCUUUCGUAACACUUUUCACAAAUACCAAUGAAGAGGUUUGGCAUGUGAGCGCAACCUUUACUGAAUUCACAAAUACCAAUGAAGAGAAUUGGUAUGUGUGCGAAAAAUUUAAGGGUUUCACAGAUGCCAAUACUAAGGAUUAUUUUAUGUUCGUGAGACGUUUCACAAAUACCAAUGAAGGAGGUUGGUUUGUGUGUAAGAGAAAUAAGUUUUCCAAAUAUCAAUGCGGUGGAGCUGGAGCUGGCCACUGGAGUAUUUGAUGAUGUGUUCGCCAUGACUGCAGUGGUCUCUCUUGCUUCUGGCGUCGAUAUUCCUCAGUAUCAAAGUCUGGAAUAUGCAGUCACUCCUCUAACGAUACUAUUUGGAUUCGAAAGGUAUACCGGCAACACAGCAAGAAUUAUACCAGGAAGAAGUGAAGCUGCGGACAAAACAACUUUGACUAUAUCACACUCGAGUGUAAAAAUGGUGGAAGCACCAGUAUUUACAAGCACUAGAGCCACAUGUGUUUUACUCCUGUGUUAUCUGAUUCCAAACAAUAUGAAGUUAACCAUAUGACAUUGUAGCUCUUACUAUGAAAUGCACAUAUUAAUCUGCAAUUACUGUCUUCAGUGAGGUGUCGUUAAAUGUUGGAAGAUGAAGUAAUAUAAUACAUACAUCCCUUAUCUCUGAAACAUCUUUACAAAUGUUUAAAAACGCAAUUACACACAGACACACUGAAAGUGAAAGAGAGACAGAGACCUACAUGAACGUGCUAGUAACACAUCAACAAAACACACCAAUACAAAUUUAAUUCUUGAGUGUUCCUUCUUUAUGCUUGACUAUGAAUGACAUCUUGUUUCAGAGAACUUGCAUGAUUUCCUACAGUGAUUAUCCAUUUUGAAUGAUUUACUGUUUAUAUGAUAGCUAUUGCUGACAAAAUUUAACCAUUGCUGUAAAGGUGUACAAAUUGUUGACUGUCAUGGUGUUCUUGGUUUAUAAGUGAGAACAUAAAACAGGCUAGUUAAAUCAAGAGAAAUAUUUCAUUUGAAUUUCGUAAGGUGCCUUACUUGACAUCAGAGUUUUCCAAACAUACAACAGGAAUAUUUAUCAAUCAAAAUAAAAGUGUUAUUCGAAUGAUGUGGCACAUGUUAGAUUAUAUUUGCAAUUCUCGACUUUCAUCUACAGUAUACUUGUUUUUUAUUUUAUACGAAAUAACAUCACACUCCAUUAAACUCCCCAUACCGCCUCUGGUGAGUUGCGCUAGUUGCAGAUAUUGAAUGAAGG